GUGACAGCCGCCGCGGUAAGACGUAGGGGGCGAGCGUUGUCCGGAAUCAUUGGGCGUAAAGAGCGCGUAGGCGGCCCGGAAAGUCGGAUGUGAAAACCUGGGGCUCAACCCCAGGCCUGCAUCCGAUACUCCCGGGCUCGAGGCAGGUAGGGGAGAUCGGAAUUCCUGGUGUAGCGGUGAAAUGCGCAGAUAUCAGGAGGAACACCGGUGGCGAAGGCGGAUCUCUGGGCCUGUCCUGACGCUGAGGCGCGAAAGCUAGGGGAGCGAACAGGAUUAGAUACCCCGGUAGUCC
This 292-nucleotide ribosomal RNA is filed under the name uncultured bacterium. RNAcentral describes it as "partial 16S ribosomal RNA". It matches the Rfam family "Bacterial small subunit ribosomal RNA", at positions 505 to 796 of the family's 1533-position model. The record is from RNAcentral.